Molecule: long non-coding RNA, 1101 nt
Organism: Tyto alba (common barn owl)
Lineage: Eukaryota; Metazoa; Chordata; Aves; Strigiformes; Tytonidae
Exons: 5
Source: RefSeq, a predicted model, not a curated record
CAGGAGCUUCUGCUACCCCGGGAGCUGCUGCACCCCAGCCGUCUGGCUGGCCAGCACGGCAGUCUCUCGGGCCCUGCUGAGCAAAAAGAGAUAAUGAAACUUAGGCCAGAGUAUCACAAGGCUGUAGAAGAAAACGAAAAGCUGGGAACUGCUAAGAAGUUCACAGGUGGCUUCCAAAACAGUUGUACCAAUCUAACUGAACACACAAGGGGAGAAGUGCAUCACAGAAGCGACCUUUCAGAGGGCACCAGUCUAGCUACCUGUGAACACACCCAGGUGAGCUUGAAAGACCAGACUCUGCUGAAAGGAAAUGACACAGUGGGAAAAGAAUCCAGGAGGCAUCCAUGAGGUCUUAAACCUCCCAAGCCCUUUGUCUUAGCCCGAGGCCAGCUCUACAAAAGGGUCCUCCUUCGUGUCAGCUGUUGGGUAGCCCACCAGUGAUGUGGAUGACAAACACUACUACAGAGAGAUUUACAGCAAACGGCAGACUGAAAAAUCCUCUCCAGUGAAAGGUUUCAAUUCCAGAAAUCAGUAAGAUCUCUACUGAACCUGAUGACCAAAGACUGUAACCUAACACUGAACAGAAGCCAAAAGGGAUGUUUCUAAUACAUCACCAUGCUGCAGAAAAAGCAUCCAUGAUGCGCAUAGUCAACUGGGCAGAUCAAAGUUUCCCAAGACCGCUAUUGAGAAUUUCAAAUCCACAAGCAAGGAGUCAGCACAGAUAAAGAGGUGUUGGAAACUUCAGUAUUAAUAUCAAACUUGUAUCCAAGUUAUUCCACUGAUGUCCUAAAGCAUGUUUUGGACCAGUAUUGUAAGAGGAAUGUAUUUAACAAAGCAGAAAUAGACUGAGGCUUCACCAGCAGAGCAAGGAACCCAGGACUGAAACAUAAGGGGUUCUUCACAUGUAAACUCUGAUAUGCUGGUACAAUUUAGCAGGAAAAACUGGCCUUAUGAACAUCAAAUUUGCUGUACAAAAUGCUUUGUACUAGUCGCUUGUAACUGAUAACACUGUCUGUCUUGUUUUUGUUAAAUCAAAGUAAAUUUGGGAAAGUACGUCAAAUAAAAGACUGCUCAAGUGGAUGUGAUCACCUCAAAACAGAA